RNAcentral lists this ribosomal RNA (400 nucleotides) under uncultured bacterium. RNAcentral's name for it is "bacterial SSU rRNA". It matches the Rfam family "Bacterial small subunit ribosomal RNA", at positions 355 to 772 of the family's 1533-position model. The record is from RNAcentral.
UGGGGAAUAUUGGACAAUGGGCGCAAGCCUGAUCCAGCAAUGCCGCGUGAGUGAUGAAGGCCUUAGGGUUGUAAAGCUCUUUCACCCACGACGAUGAUGACGGUAGUGGGAGAAGAAGCCCCGGCUAACUUCGUGCCAGCAGCCGCGGUAAUACGAAGGGGGCUAGCGUUGUUCGGAAUGACUGGGCGUAAAGGGCGCGUAGGCGGUUGACCAAGUUGGGGGUGAAAGCCCGGGGCUUAACCUCGGAAUUGCCUCCAAAACUGGUCGGCUUGAGUGUGGAAGAGGGUUGUGGAAUUCCCAGUGUAGAGGUGAAAUUCGUAGAUAUUGGGAAGAACACCAGUGGCGAAGGCGACAACCUGGUCCAUUACUGACGCUGAGGCGCGACAGCGUGGGGAGCAAA